Molecule: microRNA precursor, 90 nt
Filed under: Chlorocebus sabaeus (green monkey)
Lineage: Eukaryota; Metazoa; Chordata; Mammalia; Primates; Cercopithecidae
Description: miRNA (ENSCSAG00000021362.1)
Source: RNAcentral
UAAAUAUUAGAUUAGUGCCAAAGUAAUCACUGUUUUUGCCAUUACGUUCAAUGGCGCAAAAACCGCAAUUACUUUUGCACCAAUCUAAUA